This 701-nucleotide ribosomal RNA is filed under the name uncultured beta proteobacterium. Its description in RNAcentral is "bacterial SSU rRNA". It matches the Rfam family "Bacterial small subunit ribosomal RNA", at positions 79 to 776 of the family's 1533-position model. The record is from RNAcentral. Lineage: Bacteria; Pseudomonadati; Pseudomonadota; Betaproteobacteria.
UGCUCUCUGAUGGCGAGUGGCGAACGGGUGAGUAAUACAUCGGAACGUGUCCGUUUGUGGGGGACAACCACCCGAAAGGGUGGCUAAUACCGCAUAAGACCUGAGGGUGAAAGCCGGGGACCGCAAGGCCUGGCGCGAACGGAGCGGCCGAUGACUGAUUAGCUGGUUGGCGGGGUAAAGGCCCACCAAGGCGACGAUCAGUAGCUGGUCUGAGAGGACGACCAGCCACACUGGAACUGAGACACGGUCCAGACUCCUACGGGAGGCAGCAGUGGGGAAUUUUGGACAAUGGGGGCAACCCUGAUCCAGCCAUGCCGCGUGCGGGAAGAAGGCCUUCGGGUUGUAAACCGCUUUUGUCAGGGACGAAAAGGUGCGGGUUAAGAGCUAGCACUGAUGACGGUACCUGAAGAAUAAGCACCGGCUAACUACGUGCCAGCAGCCGCGGUAAUACGUAGGGUGCGAGCGUUAAUCGGAAUUACUGGGCGUAAAGCGUGCGCAGGCGGUUGGGUAAGACAGAUGUGAAAUCCCCGGGCUUAACCUGGGAACUGCAUUUGUGACUGUCCGACUGGAGUAUGUCAGAGGGGGGUGGAAUUCCAAGUGUAGCAGUGAAAUGCGUAGAUAUUUGGAAGAACACCGAUGGCGAAGGCAGCCCCCUGGGGCAAAACUGACGCUCAUGCACGAAAGCGUGGGGAGCAAACAGG